Molecule: ribosomal RNA, 496 nt
Filed under: uncultured bacterium
Lineage: Bacteria
Description: partial 16S ribosomal RNA
Rfam family: Bacterial small subunit ribosomal RNA
Source: RNAcentral
GAUGAACGCUGGCGGCGUGCCUAAUACAUGCAAGUCGAGCGAACAGACGAGGAGCUUGCUCCUCUGACGUUAGCGGCGGACGGGUGAGUAACACGUGGAUAACCUACCUAUAAGACUGGGAUAACUUCGGGAAACCGGAGCUAAUACCGGAUAAUAUAUUGAACCGCAUGGUUCAAUAGUGAAAGACGGUUUUGCUGUCACUUAUAGAUGGAUCCGCGCCGCAUUAGCUAGUUGGUAAGGUAACGGCUUACCAAGGCAACGAUGCGUAGCCGACCUGAGAGGGUGAUCGUCAACCCUGAACCUGAACAACGUUCAGACUCCUACGGGAGGCAGCAGUAGGGAAUCUUCCGCAAUGGGCGAAAGCCUGACGGAGCAACGCCGCGUGAGUGAUGAAGGUCUUCGGAUCGUAAAACUCUGUUAUUAGGGAAGAACAAAUGUGUAAGUAACUAUGCACGUCUUGACGGUACCUAAUCAGAAAGCCACGGCUAACUACGUG